RNAcentral lists this small RNA (147 nucleotides) under Arabidopsis thaliana (thale cress). RNAcentral describes it as "ATSL050900". Lineage: Eukaryota; Viridiplantae; Streptophyta; Magnoliopsida; Brassicales; Brassicaceae. The record is from RNAcentral.
AAAUCUUUAAUGACGUUAUUAAGGUUACCAAAAUCAUUUAACGACAAUAUUCAUCUCUUAAUUAUAGGGCUUAUUGGAUCUAAAGACGGGUUAUCAAAAAUUUUCUAAACUGAAGCAAAAUAUACUAAUAUUAUUUUUUAAAAUCUU